Alligator mississippiensis (American alligator) is the source of this 6938-nucleotide long non-coding RNA. RefSeq lists it as uncharacterized. Lineage: Eukaryota; Metazoa; Chordata; Crocodylia; Alligatoridae. The record is from RefSeq and is a predicted model, not a curated record. The transcript has 2 exons.
CCUCUGUAGUGGGGACAUGGCUCUCUUCCUUGGAUCCAAACAACCCUCGCAGCAGCAGGACAUAGGCCACCCUUGUUCCCCUGCUUGACCUGUGGCAGUUUGGAGUGCUAUGCUUUGUGGUUUUGUGCCAGAGUUGCCUGCGUGGUUAUUGUAACACUGGUAGGUUAGGCAAGGAUUUUCUUAAGAUGGUUUGGAUAGGGAUGAUCCUGCCUCAGGAAGGGGGUAGGAUUAGAUGAUCUCUAAAAGACCCUUCCAGCCCUAUUUUUCUAUUAUUCUGAGAGUCCAUUCUGGCCACCGUGCUGUUAAAUUUGAAGUUGUAAUUUAAAGAUGGUUCCCAACUGAGGAGACUGAGGAAGAUGAUAAUUGGGAGAUGGUCCCUUAGUUAAGUAGCUAGUUAGUGAGAGCCAUAAAAAGGGACUGAAGAAGUUGCCUAUAGCUCCACAAUUAAUUUUUUUAGUUUUAAUUUUUCCCAUUCAUGUACACCUGUGUUUUAGUGAACCCAAUGAUCACUACACAGGCACUGGCUAAGCAACACAGAUAGUCAAUCUGGCUAUCAUGGUUAAGAGACAUCAGUUUCUGUAACCAACAGCACAGAGACUAGCAUCAUAUCCAGACACCUUUGACUUCUAUGUUAAGUAGGUAGCUAUUUACAGCUGGAGGCAUCUUUCAGCACAAGUGCAGAGCAAGGCAUGUGCAUGACUCUGGAUGUGUAACAAGGCAUUUUAACUUCUCUUAUACUGAGGGAAGCAGGCUAGCCUGGAAAAAAUGAGGAGAGGUCUUCUCAAGCAAGUGCUGGCCUUUGGCAUUGAAGCUUGAGUGCUAUGGGAAGGGAAGGAAUGAAUUGGGAAAUAUCUUCCAGCCAUCCUCCCUCCCCCAGAAAUGGAUGGUGCAGUUUGGCUGCUCUGGCAGCAAGGGCAAAUGGCAGAGAACCCAGGGAGAAGAGGAGGCAGAAAGAGUUUGGACAAGAGGGGCUGAGAAAUGUGGUGGGAAUGGAAACUUCCCAGAGCAGGCAGGACCAGAGGUUUGCCCUAAGCCCUGACUUAGCAAGGGAGCACUUUCUUUUAAAGAUAAGGAGCAGCUGGAAGAGGAGCAAGAAUGACAGGUAUGUGUGAGCCUAUCAGCCUUGGAGCUAUGCCAUGCCCUCAAGGGACAGCAGUGUAAUCAGGCAAAUAGGAUCUGACUGGGUGGUACAGCCUGUGCCUAUGUGCCCAGAUAGGGCAAAUGGUGCAUGGGGCACAUGAACCAGCAGCGUGUGGCAGGGCAUUUGGUGUGCCUGCUACUUGAAGUGGUCAGGCAGCCUAUUGAGCCAAAUGCAGGUGUGGGUCAGGGUUAAUUGUGGACUCAGCUGGCCCAGGGGCUAGCAGGUGAGGCUAGGCCUUAUCAUGGGAGUCACCUGAUUGGAAGAGGGCUGAGUUUAGAUGGGGUAUAAGCCCAGACCCUGAGAGCAGGGCUGGUAAUAAUAUCUUGGGAGCUGGUGUAGGAACAUCACCCAGCUGGAAGGCUGCAGCUCCUGAAUGCCAGUGAAAAGAAUGUCUGAGGUUUGGGUAGGAGCUAAGGAGAUGGAGGAGGUUCCUGGGGACCCAGUGUGGGGCUCAGAGCCCUGAGAAGGAGGCUGGGUGCCUGAAGCCUGUUAAGAGGCCAGGUGAGCCCAGAGAGAGAGGGGCCGAGUGCAUGGGGGCCUAGGGAGGGGUCAGACAAGCCCUGGGAGAGUGUGUGGACCUAGUGAGGGGCCAGGUGAGCCAUGGGAGAGGGGCUGGGUGUCUGAGAGACCUAGUGGAGGGGCUGGGUGAAUCCAGUGAGUGGGGCAGAGAACAGGGGCCUAGUGAGGCAUCUGGAUGAGCCCAGAAAAGGAAUGGGCUAUACAGGAAGACCUAUGGAGGGCUCCGAGCCCAGGGAGAGUGAUCUGUGGAGGGGCCCAAGAGGGUGGACCCACAAUGACAAGAGGGCUGACAGCCAGAGGACUAACCCUGGGAAUCUCAACUGGCCUGUGUGGGGCCAGGGGACAGGAGGGGCUGAAAGGUGAAAUAUACCAUGGCAGAGGGAAAGCCUGGAGUUCUUGGCUGGCCCGAGGUGGGGCCAGGGCUUAGGAGAGGCUGAAGGUCCUUGUGUGGCCACAGCAAAGCGGAAGGGGGCAAGGGGUGUGGUAAAAAUAUAGCAUAAUCUAUAUUUUUCUGCUUUUAUAAUUGCUUCUGCAUAUUUUCAUAAUUGCUUUUGCUAAGGCAUAUAUGCUAAUGAUAGAUUUAUGAAUAGCAAAAAAAAAAACUUCUGCAGACAGAGCCAGGAACAGAUGCAAUAAAUAACUCCUUACGAGAGAUAAGAGAAGAGGGGCAGGGAAGAUGCUGAGGUGGAGAGACCAGACCCUCACCGAAGGAUGACCGCGAGGGGCUUAAGAACUGCCCCUGGGAGGGGAUUUAAGAUGUAAAUGAGACAUGUAUGUAAACAGUCAUAGAACAUGUAACUGCUAGACAUACGAUGCAAGACGUAAUGCUAAGUCUGCCAAUAAUUGCACGAUACGUUGAAAUCUAUUGUUUACCUUGGCUAUAAAAAGACGUUUCAGACCCAGUUUGUUGUCGACCCUGAUCUGAGUGGCUCAACUCCUGGGUCGGUCUGUUUGCAAACAAAUAAAUCUAAAAUUAGACCUAGCCUGUGUGUGACUCUCUCCUGGGGUGGAUUGGACAAGCCUCCAGGGGCACGAAACUAGCCGUUUGUGCAACAAUUUGGCGAGCCAGCCAGGAGAGGCUCUUGGCCUACCCUGGGGUCAACGACAGAAGCGGGAAAGGUGUCUGUGAAGUGCGCACCAGACUGAUUUUGGAGUCUGUCACGGUCACUGGGAACGUGAGUCGGGACACCCAAGAGGUUAAAAGGCUCUCCACUGAAUGAGUCACCCAGGCUGAGCAGGGUCCGAAGAGACGGCGCCAGGGUGUUGGCAGGAGCCUCACCUUCAAGCACACCACUGCUUUGAACCCAGCCACCCUGAUACCAGAACCGGGACCUCCGUGCCAUGAUUGCUUAGAGGUAUUGACUCGGACAAUACUAAUCCGUCCUGACUUGACAGACGACCCACUCGAGGACCCGGAGGAGGAGUUCUUCAUAGAUGAUUCAAGUAGUGUAAUACAUGGCGUGCUGCAUACGGGGUGUGCUGUGAUAAUCUUAACUGAGACUAUAUGAAAAAAAAAAACUCCCUGCAAACUGGUCAGCACAGGCAGCGGAGCUCACUGCCCUGACAUGUGCAUUGGUAUUAGGAAAAGACAAAAGAGUGAACAUUUUUACAGAUUCGCGCUAUGCCUUUGCCAUUGUACAUGCCCAUGGGUUGUUGUGAAAAAAACGUGGGUUCAUCACGGCCUCUGGACAAAAGAUUGCAAAUGGGCCACAGAUUGUAAUGCUAUUGGAAGCCCUCUGGCUACCGAAAGAGGUGGCCGUGGUGCAUGUUAAAGCCCAUGGCAAGGCUGCAGACGAGCGCCAGAGAAGGGGAAAUGCGAAGGCUGACGUAGCAGCCAAAGAGGCGGCACAGAUGGGAGAAGAGGCAGUGUUUCAGGGCUCGGCCCAUGAGGUGCCCUUUUACUUAGAAGAUUAUAAAGCAAAGUAUGGCCCAGGAUCAGAUAAGCUAGCCGCAGAGCUCUAGGCUAUUAAGAACCCUCAGGGAUGGUGGAUUGUACCCGGUGGGAAAGUAUUAAUACCUCGAUGCUUAUUGGGAGAGAUACUCCACCGGUUACAUUAUACCACUCACAUGGGAGGCAAUGCGAUGGGAGACUUGUUAACUCGUCAAAUGAUGGCUCCAGGACUUUAUUUGGAAGCCCAGAGAGUGGUCUCUCAGUGCCCGACCUGUCAAAAGGUAAACCCAAAAUCUACAAGACCACCAGCCCCUAUGGGAGAAAGACCGUGGGCCCAUUAUCCCAGACAAGCUUGGCAGAUUGACUUCGCUGAACUUCCAAAGUCUGGUCAUUACCGUUAUCUGCUAGUAUUGGUUGAUCAACUAACUGGAUGGGUGGAAGCGUACCCCACAAGAACGGCUACCGCAUCCACAGUGACACGAGUACUACUCCACGAGAUAAUACCCCGAUUUCUGUUGCCUGAAUCCAUUGAGUCAGAUCAAGGAAGUCAUUUUGUGGAGAAAAUAAUACAGGAAGUGUCCAAAGCUUUAGAUAUCACAUGAAAACUCCAUGCUCCAUGGAGACCCCAGAGUUCAGGUCAGGUGGAGUGCAUGAAUAAAACACUGAAGGUUAUGCUAACAAAAAUCUGUAUUGAGACUCAUUUGAAAUGGCCGCAGGCACUCCCACUGGCUUUAACUCGUAUUUGUAGCACACCACGUAGAGGGAUUAAAUUGUCACCUUUUGAACUAAUGUUUGAUAUGCCUCCCAGAGUCUUGCCAGCGGGGUGGAGGAAACAGGUUACUGUGGAUUUGGGGAAAUCCGAAAUUUGAGAACAUGUUAUCGCCUUGCAGUCUGUUUUGUCUUCCCUACACAGGUUUGCUGCACCCUUCCAGAGCCUCCCGCUUGAUGCACCAAUCCACAACUUUAAACCGGGUGACCAGGUCCUGGUACAGAAGUGGAGAAAGAAUCCUCUUACGGAAAGGUGGGAGGGACCCUACCAGGUGCUGCUGACUACACACACAGCUGUUCUCUUAUCAAACAGAGAUAACUGAACCCAUUGCUCGGGAGUGAAGCCCUUUCAUCAGGAGGACACCAACUCCCAGGGUGUGGUCACUCCAGAAGCUGAUAACACCCGGGAACAAGAAGCCAACAAAUGGAAAAGUGAACCUGCUGGAGAUUUAAAGUUACGCUUGCAAAGAUGUGGGCCCUAGUCUAUUUGUUGAAGUUCUUGUCCCUUUUAGGUAUAUCAAACCCAGCUAUUAUGCCCACCUGUUGUAAGUGUCCCCAAAACGGGGGUGGAACCCUCACUGAGGCUAACUACAAACUUUCAAAGUCUACAAUACUUAGUGCCCUCCUGCACCCCAUUUCCCAGUGCUGCCCACGUCGAAAAAUUAUAAUUCAAUCCGGCGAUACAACACCGCUGUGUGUAAAGCCAGACCCAGAAGUCUGGUCUGCAAUUCUCAAAGAUUGGCCUUCAAGCCUUCAACCUGUCAAUAAUAUAUGGAAACCUAAAGGCACACCUACAAAUACAUGGGUGGGAAAUUCAUGGGUGGUCCUUCUUAAAGGCUCAGCUCGGGCUCUAACUAACGAAAGUUGUCUUUUGUGUGCGCUUACUCCUGUUUCUAGUGAUGAGGGAGUCCCUUUCUUGCCUAUUCCCCUCAAUAGAACUGGUAUAGUCUCAGAUUGGGGUUUUAACCGGAAUUUUUCUUUGCGAUAUAAUGGUUCUAAGAGAAUUAUGGUGGCAAAAGUUACUGGAUCUAUUUGCAUUUCCCAACACGGAAGUGGAUUUAAAGUGGGACAGUCAAGGUGCAAGAAAACAUGGAUUUCUAAGGAAAUCGCCCCCUGGGAGGGUGCAUGGACAUGCGCAAAUGUCUCACAUAACAAUUUUGACAAUUGUAGCUGCCUAUUGAGUAAGGAGUGGAUUUCAGUUUGGGGCAUUAAUUGUUCCCACUAUCGAAAUGAUACCAAGGUGAAUGGGAGUUCAACAAAAAAAAAGCUCACUAACUCUAACUUUAAUGAGCUCUCGUUCCACCAUCACAAAUGAAGCCUGUGGGCUAUGGUGGAUUUGUGGGCGAUGGGCAUAUAGGCAGCUUCCCACCAAUUGGGCUGGGACUUGUUAUUUGGGGGCUUUAAUUCCGGGUGUUUGGAUAACACAACCCAAAACUCAUCGAGCCAAACGAAAUACUGAUGUUUCUUUUGAGGGCAUUGCAGCAGGGAGAAGCCAAAAAUGAAAAAAUGAUGAGUGGCCAGCAGAGAGAAUCAUUCAGUACUAUGGUCCAGCAACUUGGGAGCCAAACGUCGUUGGGAGAGAGCCCACAUAUUUGACAAAUCGAAUUAUUAGGCUCCAGGCCGUAAUAAAAAUUGUUACCAAUAAAACUGCCGCAGCCCUGCGUCUGAUUGGCAACCAGCUCACUCAACUACGUACUACGGUACUGCAAAACCACUUAGCUCUUGACUACUUACUUGCAAGUGAGGGAGGGGUGUGCAGGAAGUUGAAUUUAUCAAAUUGUUGUGUUGAAAUUGAUGAUAAUGGUGAAUUGAUAAAGGCCUUAGCGGAUGAAAUGGAGGAGGUAGCACAUGUCCCAGUCCAAACAUGGAACGGGUGGAAUUUUGAUUGGUUUACAUCCUGGCUCCCUAAUUUUGGAUGGUUAAGGGGAGCGUUCUUAAUCUUUUGUCUGCUAAUGUUGAUACUUUGUUUGAUUCCCUGUAUUAUACCCUGCAUCAUGGCUCUCGUGAGACGAACAGUACAGUCGGUCGUCAACCGAGAGAUGUUUGUGCAUUAUCAGAAGUUAGCCAUAGCUGAAAAUUAUUAAAAUUAGAGUUAGAGAGCAUCUUGAGGGGGGAUAAUUGUGGUAAAAAUAUAGCAUAAUCUAUAUUUUCCUGCUUUUAUAAUUGCUUCUGCAUAUUUUCAUAAUUGCUUUUGCUAAGGCAUAUAUGCUAAUGAUAGAUUUACGAAUAGCAAAAAAAAAAACUGCAGACAGAGCCAGGAACAGAUGCAAUAAAUAACUCCUUACGAGAGAUAAGAGAAGAGGGGCAGGGAAGAUGCUGAGGUGGAGAGACCAGACCCUCACUGAAGGAUGACCGCGAGGGGCUUAAGAACUGCCCCUGGGAGGGGAUUUAAGAUGUAAAUGAGACAUGUAUGUAAACCGUCAUAGAACAUGUAACUGCUAGACAUACGAUGCAAGACGUAAUGCUAAGUCUGCCAAUAAUUGCACGAUACGUUGAAAUCUAUUGUUUACCUUGGCUAUAAAAAGACGUUUCAGACCCAGUUUGUUGUCGACCCUGAUCUGAGUGACUCAACUCCUGGGUCGGUCUGUUUGCAAACAAAUAAAUCUAAAAUUAGACCUA